Molecule: long non-coding RNA, 713 nt
Filed under: Olea europaea subsp. europaea
Lineage: Eukaryota; Viridiplantae; Streptophyta; Magnoliopsida; Lamiales; Oleaceae
Source: RNAcentral
UGUGUCAUUGUUUCAGGAAACUCUCCUGUUAUUGCCUUAGAGAUUUUCUGUUGUACUAAAACCCCUCUCAUUUUUUGCUGCCAUAUAGGAAAAUCUCCCUUCCCAUUAAAGACCCCAAGUUCAAAACUAUUGGAAGUCAUUUUCUAGAUCAAACAGGUCACACUCAGUAAUUUCUGAUUUGAUCACAACAUACAGAUGAGAAACAGAGAUUCUUCAUAACACAGGCAAAGCAACCUAAUGUGUGUAAGUGCGGAAAUAACAAUUUAAAAUACACACUGUCUCCAAUACCAAGUUAAAGAAAUCAACUACCCUGCCCUACCAGGAUUCCUUGAGACUCAAGAUCUCAGGUCAAGUCUUGGGUGAAGGGUAGAUGUUUUAUUUGAUACAAUAAAAAAUUAGGAGAGAUAUUAGUACAGAAUAUAAGAACAGAACAAACUGCUACAAUAUUCAAGUACAUCAAGGAUCAGUAGCUAAAGAACUCAACUAUACUUUUACCAUAUGAAUAUAGGCAGAUUUCAGGCUAAGUACACAAGCACACUGUAUUACUCUUAACAAAAACAAGUAUAGACAGUUUAUUGCUUAAGUACGAAAUUCCAAAUUCACAAAACAAUUAACAGAGAAUAUCAGUCAACUAAGACAUGUAAACGAAGAAAUAAGGCAAUAAAGAUUUAAGUUCAAGAAUUAAAACCACAAUGGUGGUCGUUACACUUGAC